RNAcentral lists this long non-coding RNA (585 nucleotides) under Chelonoidis abingdonii (Abingdon island giant tortoise). RNAcentral describes it as "lncRNA (ENSCABG00000018161.1)". The record is from RNAcentral. Lineage: Eukaryota; Metazoa; Chordata; Testudines; Testudinidae.
GGCCGCGCAGGCGCAGUGGCUCUUCUGUUCACCUGCUGGGGAGCAGGAUCCCGGAAGGAGCGGAGGUGAAGCGGCGGUGACUGAGCCGGGGAGCGGAGUUACCAUUGCUCGCGGGAGGAGCUCGGUUCCCAACCACCCCUGAGCCCCAGGCCGCGGGGAGAGGGAACGGGGCGCGGGAGAGAGACUGACGGCCCGUCCCGGAGCCAGAGCGGGGACCGGCAGCGGGGGCGGCUCCCCCUGUUCCCCUUGCCGCCCCCUUCUCCCCGGGGCGCGGGGGGGCCGCAGCCAUGUUCAAGAAACUGAGGCAGAAAAUCGUCGAGGAGCAAACACAGCCGCGGAGCCCCGGGGGGCGGGCGCCCCAGCAGCCGCAGACCUACUCCAAAUCUUCCCCACCAUCACCAGGCAACAGGAGCAGAACAUCUUCACUUACAGAACAAUCUGAUGAAGGCACUUUAACACCAGACAAAGAGUCUGCACAGUAAUGCACACACUCUACAGACAAACAGGAGAAUCAAAGGCCGCCCACAGGAUAUGCCAAGUUGCAUUACCCAUGCUCUAAAUACAGUGGUUAAGGCUGGGAAGAGG